UACUAGCUGUCCAAGUCGCAGCCAUCUUUAUUGGGUCUAAAACAUCCGUAGCUUGUUCAGUAAGUUCCUUGUGAAAUCCUAUAUCUUAAGUAUAGGGCGCGCAAGGAGUACUGCUGGGCUGGAGACCGGAAGACGUAAGAAGUACGUUUGAAGUAGCGGUUAAAUGCGUUAAUCUCAGACGGACUCACAACAGCGAAGGCAUCUUACGAGGACGGUUCUGACAGUGAGGGAUGAAGGCCAGGGGCGCAAAACGGAUUAGAUACCCGUGUAGUCCUGGCAGUAAACACUGCACACUAAACAUCAGUGCCUCUUCGAGAGGCAUUGGUGCUUGAGGGAAGCCGAAGAGUGUGCUACCUGGGAAGUAUAGUCGCAAGACCGAAACUUAAAGGAAUUGGCGGGGAGACACUACAACGGGUGACGCGUGCGGUUCAAUUAGAUUCCACACCGUGAACCUCACCAGGACCGACAGCAGAAUGAAGGUCAGUCUGAAGGGCUUACCUGACACGCUGAGAGGAGUUGCAUGGCCGACGUCAGCCUGUGCCGUGAGGUGACCUGUUAAAUCAGGUAACAGGCAAGACCCGCGUGUAUAUUUACUACGUGUACAAUAUACAGAUUGCCAUGGUAACAUGGAUGAAAGUGCGGGCUACGUUAGGUGAGUACAGCCUUAAUGCCCUGGGCAACACGGGCGCGUCAAUGGUAGAUACAAUGCGACGCAACUCCGAAAGGAGAAGCAAAUCGCUUAAAGUCUAUCUCAGUCUAGAUCGAGGGCUGAAACCCGCCCUCGUGACACUGGAAUCCGUAGUAAUCGGGUGUUAGCAGCGCCCGGUGAAUAUGUCACUGUCUCU
RNAcentral lists this ribosomal RNA (845 nucleotides) under uncultured archaeon. Its description in RNAcentral is "bacterial SSU rRNA". It matches the Rfam family "Archaeal small subunit ribosomal RNA", at positions 474 to 1337 of the family's 1478-position model. The record is from RNAcentral.